UACGAAGGGGGCUAGCGUUGCUCGGAAUGACUGGGCGUAAAGGGCACGUAGGCGGCUCGGCAAAUCGGUCGUGGAAUCCCGACGCUUACCGUCGGAACGGCGGCCGAAAAUACCGGGCUAGAGGGCGUGAGGGGUCACUGGAACUCCUGGUGAAGCGGUGAAAUGCGUAGAUAUCAGGAGGAACGCCGGAGGCGAAAGCGAGUGACUGGCGCGUUCCUGACGCUGAGGUGCGAAAGCUAGGGGAGCAAACAGG
Molecule: ribosomal RNA, 253 nt
Filed under: uncultured bacterium
Lineage: Bacteria
Description: partial 16S ribosomal RNA
Rfam family: Bacterial small subunit ribosomal RNA
Source: RNAcentral